This 255-nucleotide long non-coding RNA is filed under the name Mytilus galloprovincialis (Mediterranean mussel). Lineage: Eukaryota; Metazoa; Mollusca; Bivalvia; Mytilida; Mytilidae. The record is from RNAcentral.
UGCCUGAAAGAUCACUGAAAGUCAAAAGUUGAAAGCCAAUAGUGUAUAGACCCGAAACACGUGAAGAGCUAAAUAACCAAAAAGGGACCUAUAAUAAUAGUCAAAUUAAUAUUUUGGAAGUUGGCACAUGAGUUACUUGACAGUCACAUAAUUCAAAAAAGAUUACCAAUUAUACUCCUGGUCAAUGUAAGUGACUAGUUUGCAGUAUAUACGCAAAGUAAAUUUCUAAAUGGAAAGUCCCUUAUCAAAUGGCAA